CGGCAGACACCCAACCGACGGAGCCACCCAGGCGCCCCAGAGCCCAUUCUGAGAGCCUGCUGCCAUGCUGUCCUUGGGGGAGCUCCAUCUUCCAGUUUCCCAGGCGUGUCUGGGACACACUUGGCUUCUCCUUCCUCACUCCGGACACCGGCCUCUCCAGACCUCCUCCUCCAGGCUCCUCGCUGGGUCCUGGGCCCCCGCUCUGGCCUUCAACACUGGCCCCUGUUGCUCCAGCUGAAUUUGGUCAUCUUCUCCAUCUUGGAGGAGAUCCAGCCUCCCCAGGUGCCAGGACCCCACCGGCUGCGGUCAGAGAGACGGCUACUGCUCACAGCUCCAGCCAGCGCAGACCAGGCCCAUGGAGAAAGUCAACUACAAGAUGAAAU
Callorhinus ursinus (northern fur seal) is the source of this 383-nucleotide non-coding RNA. The record is from RefSeq and is a predicted model, not a curated record. NCBI's taxonomy places the organism in Eukaryota, Metazoa, Chordata, Mammalia, Carnivora, Otariidae.